This 490-nucleotide long non-coding RNA is filed under the name Struthio camelus australis. Its description in RNAcentral is "lncRNA (ENSSCUG00000004142.1)". The record is from RNAcentral. Lineage: Eukaryota; Metazoa; Chordata; Aves; Struthioniformes; Struthionidae.
GGGACUAGGAGGCUGCAAACCAUACUGACAUGUGACUUACCAGUUCCAGAACCAGAAACACAUCUCUCCCCAACAGGGCAUAUGCAGCUUUCUGCAGGAGAGCUGGUUACCAGCAGCGUUGCAGUGAUGCUGUCCGGCCUUGGGUCCUGCUGCUGCUCUCACUGAAAUCAGCAGUGACUUCAGCAGUUCAGGACUGGACCACAAACUCUAUAGCAUUUCUGGGAUCCUUCAAGAUGAAAAGCACUCCACGUGGAUGUUAUGCCACUUCCAUAGGCUUCGACUGUCACCUCCUGCCUGAGGAACAUCUCCAGGUGACUACAGUUGAGCCCUAUACUAGCCGAGCUGGAUCCUGAACAAACAUCCCUGGCAGACAAUAGUGGAACAAGUGGGUUUUUUCCAUGUAAGCUUCAGUGCCCUGGUUUAGAGCUAUGAUCUAAGGCUGCCAUGGUGGAGCUCUUUGGAAUAAAGGUGCUGCUGUCUUUUUUUCUCA